AGAGUUUGAUCCUGGCUCAGGAUGAACGCUAGCGGCAGGCCUAAUACAUGCAAGUCGAACGGUAAGAUCUCGCUUGCGAGAUACACGAGUGGCGAACGGGUGCGUAACGCGUAUGCAACCUACCUUCAACUGGAGGAUAGCCCCGAGAAAUCGGGAUUAAUACUUCAUAACAUUCAACUAUCACAUGUUAGUUGGAUUAAAGCUCCGGCGGUUGAAGAUGGGCAUGCGUGACAUUAGUUUGUUGGUGAGGUAACGGCUCACCAAGACUACGAUGUCUAGGGGUUCUGAGAGGAUUUUCCCCCACACUGGUACUGAGACACGGACCAGACUCCUACGGGAGGCAGCAGUAAGGAAUAUUGGUCAAUGGACGAAAGUCUGAACCAGCCACGCCGCGUGCAGGAUGACAGCCCUAUGGGUUGUA
This 421-nucleotide ribosomal RNA is filed under the name uncultured marine bacterium. RNAcentral describes it as "bacterial SSU rRNA". It matches the Rfam family "Bacterial small subunit ribosomal RNA", at positions 8 to 427 of the family's 1533-position model. The record is from RNAcentral.